This 465-nucleotide ribosomal RNA is filed under the name uncultured bacterium. RNAcentral describes it as "partial 16S ribosomal RNA". It matches the Rfam family "Bacterial small subunit ribosomal RNA", at positions 28 to 507 of the family's 1533-position model. The record is from RNAcentral.
GACGAACGCUGGCGGCGUGCUUAACACAUGCAAGUCGAACGGAAAGGCCCUGCUUGCAGGGUACUCGAGUGGCGAACGGGUGAGUAACACGUGGGUGAUCUGCCCUGCACUUCGGGAUAAGCCUGGGAAACUGGGUCUAAUACCGGAUAGGAGCCAUUUUUAGUGUGAUGGUUGGAAAGUUUUUUCGGUGUAGGAUGAGCUCGCGGCCUAUCAGCUUGUUGGUGGGGUAAUGGCCUACCAAGGCGGCGACGGGUAGCCGGCCUGAGAGGGUGGACGGCCACAUUGGGACUGAGAUAAGGCCCAGACUCCUACGGGAGGCAGAAGUGGGGAAUAUUGCACAAUGGGCGCAAGCCUGAUGCAGCGACGCCGCGUGGGGGAUGACGGCCUUCGGGUUGUAAACUCCUUUCGCUAGGGACGAAGCUUUUUGUGACGGUACCUAGAUAAGAAGCACCGGCUAACUACGUG